Molecule: transfer RNA, 83 nt
Filed under: Azospirillum oryzae
Lineage: Bacteria; Pseudomonadati; Pseudomonadota; Alphaproteobacteria; Rhodospirillales; Azospirillaceae
Description: tRNA-Arg
Source: RNAcentral
UGGCGACGAUGGGCAGGCGGGUGCCGGCCGCCGCCUCGGCGGCGCGGAUGCUGCGGGCCAGUUCCAUGCCGUCCAUCUCCGGC